Molecule: non-coding RNA, 73 nt
Organism: Phrynosoma platyrhinos (Desert horned lizard)
Lineage: Eukaryota; Metazoa; Chordata; Lepidosauria; Squamata; Phrynosomatidae
Source: the annotation of a GenBank genome assembly
AGCCGAUGUGAUGUAGUGGUUUUAGCACUGGACUACAAGUCCGGUGGCCAGGGUUCAAAUCCCCGCUCAGCUG